CGUAGNUAAUACCGCAUACGCCCUACGGGGGAAAGCAGGGGAUCGCAAGACCUUGCACUAUUAGAGCGGCCGAUAUCGGAUUAGCUAGUUGGUGGGGUAAYGGCUCACCAAGGCGACGAUCCGUAGCUGGUUUGAGAGGACGACCAGCCACACUGGGACUGAGACACGGCCCAGACUCCUACGGGAGGCAGCAGUGGGGAAUUUUGGACAAUGGGGGAAACCCU
This 224-nucleotide ribosomal RNA is filed under the name Achromobacter sp. Le4-1. RNAcentral's name for it is "partial 16S ribosomal RNA". It matches the Rfam family "Bacterial small subunit ribosomal RNA", at positions 158 to 384 of the family's 1533-position model. Lineage: Bacteria; Pseudomonadati; Pseudomonadota; Betaproteobacteria; Burkholderiales; Alcaligenaceae. The record is from RNAcentral.